GACGAACGCUGGCGGCGUGCUUAACACAUGCAAGUCGAACGGAAAGGCCCUUCGGGGUACUCGAGUGGCGAACGGGUGAGUAACACGUGGGUGAUCUGCCCUGCACUUUGGGAUAAGCCUGGGAAACUGGGUCUAAUACCGAAUAGGACCACGCGCUUCAUGGUGUGUGGUGGAAAGCUUUUGCGGUGUGGGAUGGGCCCGCGGCCUAUCAGCUUGUUGGUGGGGUAAUGGCCUACCAAGGCGACGACGGGUAGCCGGCCUGAGAGGGUGACCGGCCACACUGGGACUGAGAUACGGCCCAGACUCCUACGGGAGGCAGCAGUGGGGAAUAUUGCACAAUGGGCGCAAGCCUGAUGCAGCGACGCCGCGUGAGGGAUGACGGUCUUCGGGUUGUAAACCUCUUUCAAUAGGGACGAAGCGCAAGUGACGGUACCUAUAGAAGAAGCACCGGCCAACUACGUG
This 462-nucleotide ribosomal RNA is filed under the name uncultured bacterium. RNAcentral's name for it is "partial 16S ribosomal RNA". It matches the Rfam family "Bacterial small subunit ribosomal RNA", at positions 28 to 507 of the family's 1533-position model. The record is from RNAcentral.